This 22-nucleotide ribosomal RNA is filed under the name Paulownia fortunei. Its description in RNAcentral is "partial 18S ribosomal RNA". Lineage: Eukaryota; Viridiplantae; Streptophyta; Magnoliopsida; Lamiales; Paulowniaceae. The record is from RNAcentral. RNAcentral also lists the same sequence under 3 other names.
GAACCUGCGGAAGGAUCAUUGU